CACAUGCAGUCGAGCGCGCCCUUCGGGGUGAGCGGCGGACGGGUUAGUAACGCGUGGGAACGUACCCAGAUCUAAGGAAUAGCCACUGGAAACGGUGAGUAAUACCUUAUACGCCCUUCGGGGGAAAGAUUUAUCGGAUUUGGAUCGGCCCGCGUUAGAUUAGAUAGUUGGUGGGGUAACGGCCUACCAAGUCUACGAUCUAUAGCUGGUUUUAGAGGAUGAUCAGCAACACUGGGACUGAGACACGGCCCAGACUCCUACGGGAGGCAGCAGUGGGGAAUCUUGGACAAUGGGCGCAAGCCUGAUCCAGCCAUGCCGCGUGAGUGAUGAAGGCCUUAGGGUCGUAAAGCUCUUUCGCCAGGGAUGAUAAUGACAGUACCUGGUAAAGAAACCCCGGCUAACUCCGUGCCAGCAGCCGCGGUAAU
Molecule: ribosomal RNA, 425 nt
Filed under: uncultured Alphaproteobacteria bacterium
Lineage: Bacteria; Pseudomonadati; Pseudomonadota; Alphaproteobacteria
Description: bacterial SSU rRNA
Rfam family: Bacterial small subunit ribosomal RNA
Source: RNAcentral